UCGAACGAGAAAGCUUCCUUCGGGAAGUGAGUACAGUGGCGAACGGGUGAGUAACGGGUGGGAAACCUGCCCAGGUGUGGGGGAUAACACUCUAACGGGGUGCUAAUACCGCAUACGCCGAGGAGUCGCAUGGCUCGUCGGUAAAGGGGGCCUCUGAUUCAAGCUCUCGCAUCUGGAUGGUCCCGCCUCCCAUUAGCUCGUUGGUGGGGUAACGGCCCACCAAGGCAACGAUGGGUAGCCGGCCUGAGAGGGUGUCCGGCCACACUGGGACUGAGAUACGGCCCAGACUCCUACGGGAGGCAGCAGUCGAGAAGCUUCGGCAAUGGGCGAAAGCCUGACCGAGCGACGCCGCGUGAGGGAUGAAGGCCCUACGGGUUGUAAACCUCUGUCAGGAGGGGAUAAAGCGUAUCGGCCAAUUACCCGAUGCGUCUGAAGGUACCUCCAAAGGAAGCUCCGGCUAACUCCGUGCCAGCAGCCGAGGUAAUACCGGAGGGAGCAAAACGUAGAACGGAUUAACUGGGUGUACAAGGGUGCGUAGGCGGCUACGUGUGUCAGAGGUGACAGCUCACGGGGUCAACCCGGGAACUGCCUAUGAAACUGCGUAGCUUGGUCCCGAGAGAGGAUGGUGGAAUUCCUGGUGUAACGGUGAAAUGUGCAGAUAUCAGGAAGUACACCCGGUGGCGAAGGCGGCCAUCUGGCUCGGUACUGACGCUGAGGCACGAAAGCUAGGGUAUCGAACGGGAUUAGAUACCCCGGUAGUCCUAGCCGUAAACGAUGUCCACUAGGUGUCGGAGGUCCUACCCCUUCGGUGCCGGAGCUAACGCAUUAAGUGGACCACCUGGGGAGUACGCUCGCAAGGGUGAAACUCAAAGGAAUUGACGGGGGCCCGCACAAGCGGUGGAGCAUGUGGUUUAAUUCGAUGCAACGCGAAGAACCUUACCUGGGCUUGACAUGCAGGGGACAGGUGUAGAGAUAUACCGUUCUUCGGACUCCUGUACAGGUGCUGCAUGGCUGUCGUCAGCCCGUGUCGCGAAAUGUUGGGUUAAGUCCCGCAACGAGCGCAACCCUUGUCCUUAGUCGCCAGCACGUCAUACGUGUUUACUCUAGGGAGACUGCCGCUGACAGACCGCGAGGAAGUUGGGGACGACGUCAAGUCAUCAUGGCCCUUACGUCCAGGGCUACACACGUGCUACAAUGGCACAUACAGAGGGCAGCGAACCCGCGAGGGGAAGCCAAUCCCAAAAAGUGUGCCUCAGUUCGGAUCGCAGUCUGCAACUCGACUGCGUGAAGUCGGAAUCGCUAGUAAUCGCGGAUCAGCAUGCCGCGGUGAAUCCGUUCCCGGGCCUUGUACACACCUCCCGUCAAGUCA
Molecule: ribosomal RNA, 1369 nt
Filed under: uncultured organism
Description: bacterial SSU rRNA
Rfam family: Bacterial small subunit ribosomal RNA
Source: RNAcentral